AAAUUGAAGAGUUUGAUCAUGGCUCAGAUUGAACGCUGGCGGCAGGCCUAACACAUGCAAGUCGAACGGUAACAGGAAGCAGCUUGCUGCUUCGCUGACGAGUGGCGGACGGGUGAGUAAUGUCUGGGAAACUGCCUGAUGGAGGGGGAUAACUACUGGAAACGGUAGCUAAUACCGCAUAACGUCGCAAGACCAAAGAGGGGGACCUUCGGGCCUCUUGCCAUCGGAUGUGCCCAG
RNAcentral lists this ribosomal RNA (237 nucleotides) under Escherichia coli. Its description in RNAcentral is "partial 16S ribosomal RNA". It matches the Rfam family "Bacterial small subunit ribosomal RNA", at positions 1 to 234 of the family's 1533-position model. The record is from RNAcentral. Lineage: Bacteria; Pseudomonadati; Pseudomonadota; Gammaproteobacteria; Enterobacterales; Enterobacteriaceae. RNAcentral also lists the same sequence under 1 other name.